Molecule: ribosomal RNA, 480 nt
Filed under: uncultured bacterium
Lineage: Bacteria
Description: partial 16S ribosomal RNA
Rfam family: Bacterial small subunit ribosomal RNA
Source: RNAcentral
GAUGAACGCUAGCGGCAGGCCUAAUACAUGCAAGUCGAGGGGUAUGGGUUGCUUGCAACCCAGAGACCGGCGCACGGGUGCGUAACGCGUAUGCAAUCUACCUUAAUCAGGGGGAUAGCCCGGAGAAAUCCGGAUUAACACCGCAUAACAUUGAGUUGUGGCAUCACAGUUCAAUCAAAUAUUUAUAGGAUUAAGAUGAGCAUGCAUGACAUUAGUUAGUUGGUGAGGUAACGGCUCACCAAGACCACGAUGUCGAGGGGAUCUGAGAGGAUGACCCCCAGCACUGGUACUGCGACACGGACCAGACUCCUACGGGACGCAGCAGUGAGGAAUAUUGGUCAAUGGGCGCUAGCCUGAACCAGCCAUGCCGCGUGCAGGAAGCCGGCCCUAUGGGUUGUAAACUGCUUUUGUACCGGAAUAAACCUUCUCUUGCGAGAGAAGCUGAACGUACGGUAAGAAUAAGGAUCGGCUAACUCCGUG